CCCUUAGAUGGUCUGGGCGGCACGCGCGCUACAAUGAUGCAUUCAAAAAGUCUUCUGACCUUAGAAGGUUGGGUAUUCUCCAAAGUGCAUCGUGAUGGGAAUAGUUUAUUGCAAUUUUUAAUCUUGAACGAGGAAUUCCUAGUAAGUACAGGUCAUCAACUUGUGUUGAUUACGUCCCUGCCCUUUGUACACACCGCCCGUCGCUCCUACUGAUUGAGUGUCUCGGUGAAUUCUUUGAUCUUCUGUCGAUUCAGUUCACUGAUCCGACGGUGGAAAGUUGAAUGAACUUCGUCACUUAGAGGAAGGAGAAGGCGUAACA
Molecule: ribosomal RNA, 319 nt
Filed under: uncultured eukaryote
Lineage: Eukaryota
Description: partial 18S ribosomal RNA
Rfam family: Eukaryotic small subunit ribosomal RNA
Source: RNAcentral